CGUUGUGUUUGUUUACUCGUCCUUUUUUUGUGAAUGUUUUAUUUGAAAGCAAAAUUAGGAAAGAAAUUAACCUGUGCUAUUUGUGGAAAUGUAUAUGAAGACGGCAGCAGAAAAAUUGGUGUUUUUUCAGUACCAAAGAAUAUGUUUUCUCGGUGGAAAUCGAUCAUACCUGAACUGAAAGAAACAGCGAGACUGUGCGACAUUCAUUUUGAAGAAUCAGAUAUAGUGAAGGGUUUCUAAAACGGGCAGAAUUUUCAUCCCCUACAAAACUGGAGAUUACUUAAGUCAGCUAUUCCAAAAUUUGUCUUGGGUACAUUACAAAUGUACUACUCUCAAUUUACGAUGAAACAACUUAAAGUUUUUAAAACAGUUAAAACAAAUGCAGAAUCCCCAUCUGCUCGUAAACCUUUAAAGCAGCUGUUAAAUGUCAUUGGCCAUAACAACCGCUUGCCAACAAAAAGACAAAAUAAUUGUCAUUCUACUGCACAAGCAAAUGCCAGAAAACGCUGCAGGAAAGAAGUAAACAAUAAGCCCAUUGCUGGAGAGAGUAUGGUUCAGGAAAUAAUUUCGUCACAACAGAGUCCACAGAAAGUAUUGAUUGUUUCUUU
Long non-coding RNA from Daphnia magna, 608 nucleotides. RefSeq lists it as uncharacterized. Lineage: Eukaryota; Metazoa; Arthropoda; Branchiopoda; Diplostraca; Daphniidae. The transcript is spliced from 3 exons. The record is from RefSeq and is a predicted model, not a curated record.